CCUACGGGUGGCUGCAGUCGCGAAUUUUUCACAAUGGGCGCAAGCCUGAUGAAGCCACGCCGCGUGCGGGAUGAAGGCCCUCUGGGUUGUAAACCGCUGUCGAGGGAGGGGAACCGCUGGAUGUGAAUAGUAUCCAGUCUGACUGCUCUCUGAAGGAAGCCCCGGCAAAACAUGUGCCAGCAGCCGCGGUAAUACAUGUGGGGCAAGCGUUGUUCGGAAUUACUGGGCAUAAAGGGUGCGUAGGUGGUUUGUUAAGUCAGGGGUGAAAUCCCGCG
Molecule: ribosomal RNA, 275 nt
Filed under: uncultured bacterium
Lineage: Bacteria
Description: partial 16S ribosomal RNA
Rfam family: Bacterial small subunit ribosomal RNA
Source: RNAcentral